RNAcentral lists this ribosomal RNA (563 nucleotides) under Epichloe elymi. RNAcentral's name for it is "eukaryotic LSU rRNA". It matches the Rfam family "Eukaryotic large subunit ribosomal RNA", at positions 1 to 649 of the family's 3401-position model. Lineage: Eukaryota; Fungi; Ascomycota; Sordariomycetes; Hypocreales; Clavicipitaceae. The record is from RNAcentral.
UUGACCUCGAAUCAGGUAGGACUACCCGCUGAACUUAAGCAUAUCAAUAAGCGGAGGAAAAGAAACCAACAGGGAUUGCCCCAGUAACGGCGAGUGAAGCGGCAACAGCUCAAAUUUGAAAUCUGGCCCCCAGGGGCCCGAGUUGUAAUUUGUAGAGGAUGCUUUUGGCGAGGCGCCUUCCGAGUUCCCUGGAACGGGACGCCACAGAGGGUGAGAGCCCCGUCUGGUUGGAUGCCGAGCCUCUGUAAAGCUCCUUCGACGAGUCGAGUAGUUUGGGAAUGCUGCUCUAAAUGGGAGGUAUAUGUCUUCUAAAGCUAAAUAUUGGCCAGAGACCGAUAGCGCACAAGUAGAGUGAUCGAAAGAUGAAAAGCACUUUGAAAAGAGGGUUAAAUAGUACGUGAAAUUGUUGAAAGGGAAGCGCUCAUGACCAGACUUCGCCCCGGGGGACAAAGGCUCUGGGAAUGUGGCUCCUCCGGGAGUGUUAUAGCCCUCUGCUGCAUGCCCUGGGGCGGACUGAGGUUCGCGCGUCUGCAAGGAUGCUGGCGUAAUGGUCAUCAGCGACC